Molecule: small RNA, 383 nt
Filed under: Enterococcus canis
Lineage: Bacteria; Bacillati; Bacillota; Bacilli; Lactobacillales; Enterococcaceae
Description: cspA thermoregulator
Rfam family: cspA thermoregulator
Source: Rfam by way of RNAcentral
UCCUCCUUGUGUUAUAGUAAGUCUUGUAGUUUUUGUUCGGUAAUUUGCGGUACAUGUUUCACAUAAACAUCUUCCACAUUUUUCACCAUUCAAUAAUUGCAAUAUUAUGUGUGUAAAACACAAGGAGGAUUUUUUAUUAUGGAAACAGGUACAGUAAAAUGGUUUAACUCAGACAAAGGUUUUGGAUUCAUCACUACAGAAGCUGGUAACGACGUAUUCGUUCACUUCUCAGCAAUCCAAGGCGACGGCUUCAAAACUUUAGAAGAAGGUCAAACAGUUACUUUCGAUAUCGAAGAAGGUCAACGUGGCCCUCAAGCAACUAACGUUGUUAAAGCUUAAUUCCUAAACUGUCAAACCACAAGACUUUGGUCUUGUGGUUUUUU